RNAcentral lists this ribosomal RNA (433 nucleotides) under uncultured bacterium. RNAcentral's name for it is "partial 16S ribosomal RNA". It matches the Rfam family "Bacterial small subunit ribosomal RNA", at positions 29 to 507 of the family's 1533-position model. The record is from RNAcentral.
AACGAACGCUGGCGGCAUGCCUAACACAUGCAAGUCGAACGAAGCCUUCGGGCUUAGUGGCGCACGGGUGCGUAACGCGUGAGAAUCUGCCCCUUGCUUCGGAAUAACAGUUAGAAAUGACUGCUAAUACCGGAUGAAGUCUUCGGACCAAAGAUUUAUCGGCAAGGGAUGAGCCCGCGUAGGAUUAGGUAGUUGGUGGGGUAAAGGCCUACCAAGCCGACGAUCCUUAGCUGGUCUGAGAGGAUGAUCAGCCACACUGGGACUGAGACACGGCCCAGACUCCUACGGGAGGCAGCAGUGGGGAAUAUUGGACAAUGGACGCAAGUCUGAUCCAGCAAUGCCGCGUGAGUGAUGAAGGCCUUAGGGUUGUAAAGCUCUUUUACCAGGGAUGAUAAUGACAGUACCUGGAGAAUAAGCUCCGGCUAACUCCGUG